Mus pahari (shrew mouse) is the source of this 772-nucleotide long non-coding RNA. RefSeq lists it as uncharacterized. The transcript has 3 exons. NCBI's taxonomy places the organism in Eukaryota, Metazoa, Chordata, Mammalia, Rodentia, Muridae. The record is from RefSeq and is a predicted model, not a curated record.
GCCCAGGAGGAGGAGAAACUUUACCUUGGAGUGGCCUAUCUCUUGAAUGGUCCUCUGAGCCUGCUUUAUUUUCCAGGGAACCUGUGCCAACCACCUCCACUCUGCACACCAGACUUCCCUUCAUCAUCAAGUCAGCCACAGAGGAUCCCAACAGUGAAAUCCAGAAGGCUUUAAGGUUCAGGAGGCUGACUGAGUCACACAGAGGACCUAUAUCAUCCCAAUGUCACCAAUUUCUUGAUGCACCCAUGGAUUCUUUGGGAUAGUGGCUGUGUAUGUCAACCUAGCCAGCCUCUGGUGCCCGCAAACUGGUCAGAUGCCACGCAGAUGUUGCUGCAAAGCUAUAAGCUCCACGCCAGAUGGCUCCACAGAAGUCUCGCGGCAGUGGAGGACAGCUCAGAGAAGCUGCUGCCGGGACUCCCUGCGUGCACGACAGGGCCACUUCACAAGACUUGUUAUUGAGGGCAUCAGGUGAGGAACUGUGAAACCCAAGUGCUCAGAUCCCCUUCAGGAAAGAGCAGCUUCCUUUGAGCUGAAGAAUGCCUGGCUCUCACUCACUAAUGAGUGGGCUUAGCCAUGCCCAUCAUCCCCCUGCCCUUCUCAUUACCUGAACAAGCAAGAGGUAAUUACAGAAGUCAAGCCUCCGUGCCUUCUAGAGAAUGCUGACAUUACCGUGACAGGCGAACACCCAUGCACUGUGUCCAGAUAAGCAUGGCAUACUCACUGGCCAGUUUUUCUCACCCUUAAUGUCUCUUCCAGAUUCACAAAUGGUUGG